GUAUUAUUUCAAGUUUUGUUACCUGGUUAAUUGGAGUAGGUGCUCAAAUAAAUUGGAAUUAAGACACAUGAUAAAGACAUGAAAAAAGACGUUGAAAUAUAUUAAUUUUGUUAUAUUUAAGUUGUUACGCUGUACCCAAAAAAAGACAUCGUCUAGUCAUUGUAUUGUUGUGUUGCAACCGAGUACUUAAGUAUUUUUAAAUAGUUGCUUAUUGCUUUUUGUUAGCUUAUAAUGGCUUUGUUACGGUGUAUUACGAGUAGAAGUUGGAAUUGAAGUGGAUCUAACAAUUAUGUUAAUCUUAUAGCUAAAUUGAAUCCCAAUUUGAUAGUAUUUCAUAGUAUUACAAGAUUUGCCUGUCCAGGUAGUCAUUCUUUAAGAUUCCAGACGUAUAAACUGUUAAAAUUCUAAUAAUUUUAUUUAGACAGUAAAGACGUUAUUCGAACAGAUUAAUUUGGUAACGAUGCGAUGCUUUGCAAAUGUUCACUUAAAAUAAUGUUAUCCCUAAAUUGGUACACUGACCACCACAAUUCCAAACUUACCAACUGUGUAUAUUAUAUGUAAAAUGGGUUCCAUGCCAAUAAUAUGUCAUAGUUUAGGUAUUAGUACAAGUACCUAUGUGCAAAAGAUGUCCAUUAAUCAUAAAACUCAUUGCGUAUUACAGUUAUUAUAUUACUUAAUAUUAAGUUUUAAAAAGCUGUUUAACCUUUAAUAUUGAUGUUUUCUGUAGAGGUUUUAAGCCGUGCUUUUUCAACGAUGGAGCGAGGUAAGGACCGAAUUCAAAUUGGAGCCCUAACAAACAAAUAUGUAUCUACCUACAUAAUUUAGUAACACCACCGUUGUGACGUCUUGCCUCGUUGUUAAGUAAAACACCUUAUUAUAACCUUCCACUCUAUUCAAGUUUCCAUCUUAAGGUUCGGCCACAUCGCUGCUCAAAAUACGGCGACGGUACGGAAUCGCAGUGACAUGCCUCAUUAUGCAAAACUACGUUGCGUCAGCGUAUUUUUACCCGCGGUGUGGCAUGCGAUAAAGUCGUCACGUUUACGGUACGUCACUGCGGUUCCGUACAGUCACCGUAUUAUGAGCAGCGGUGUGGCCGAUCGUUUAUAAUAAUACAUUUGAUCGAUUGAUUGAUGAAAAUUUAAAUGAAGUAGAUUGGAUUCGGAGUAUAGUCUUGCGUUUUAAUCAUUGCGAUGAGUUAAAUAUAAAAUGAACGCGCUUUAUGUAUUAUUUUUAAGUUAUACUAUAAUUAUUAAAUGUUUCUAAUUAUACCUAUUAGCUGUGUUGUAGGAACUUGAGUUUUAGUAGAUACUUUAUAAACUUGAAUAGUUAGUACUGUUAGUAGCCCAGGUAGAAAGGUAGGAAAGAAUGAGCUUGUAAUAUAAAUGUAAGAUAGAUGUGUGAUGUUACUGAAACAGUAGGGAGGCUUCGCACCGGAGAGGACCAUUGUUAAGAACUUUAGGAUUAAACUUCGGUAGAAUGCUCAGAUUUGCUGCCAGCUUUUAGUAGCUUCAUUUAAGGAACGCAUCUACCUGAUAUCCGACUAUGAACAUACGUAUUCGUCGUCGUGAUCAAAACUAGUGAAAACUGCCAGCGACUGGGGGGCAAUUUUUGAAUUUCGAGCGCAUGAUUUCAUGUAGCUCCCUUCAAUACUAUCUCUACUACUAGGCAUUUAAAUUAUACUAAUAGAAUUGAAAACGUCUGGUCAAUACCAUUAGAUUCCCUAUUUAUAUCGCUCGUAUUUCGAGUGACGAAAUAAGACAAAUAUGGCAUGAAAACUACAGAGCUUUGACAUCACAAUGUCAAAGCUCUGUACGAGUAUGUCGAGUAUGACAAAUUUCGUCAGUAUGCAUCAGCAUCAGCAACCUAUAGAAUCGUCAAACAAGAAUAUAUCGAGUUUGGCUGUUGGUUGGUUGAUGCCAAAACUAUGUUUGAAUAGUUAUAGCACGAGGAAUCGUUUAUUCGUGUAGUUAUAUAAAUAUUUAUGUUUGUUGUGUGGUUCGUGUAUAUUAGAAUAUGGGACGUGCGAAGCCUCGACAUUCUCUGCCUUAACGCUGUGUAAACAGUACCGUCUGCGAAAUGUUAAGAACAUUUCAAAUCAUGUGCUGUGAUUUACUCUGGUUUCUAGUCUGAUGUCCAUUCCAAAGUUCAUAGCGACUAACUACCUACCCCUUAGUUCGUUCUAUUUAAUCUUGUAGCAUAUGGUUCCCAAUACCGCAAAUGUGCUAAGAACUACCGUUUAAGAGGAAAGGGGACGGUCGCUUCUCCAUACAAACGUAGUUCCCAUUUUCCUCUCUGGAUAUUGAUAUUAUGAAAAAUAUUUUUACAUAAUUUGAUGUAUAUUAAAUAUAGCUGUGCCCCUACGUCUGACUUUUUUAGACAUGUAUUUUGAUUAUUGCAAAAUUGGAGCGAAAAACAUAUUUCAUACAAAUUUUAAUUUAUUUAUUUAUUUCCAAUAAUUUAAAUAUCCAGAGGAAAAUGAGGACUACGUUUGUAUGAAAAGAUGAUUUCGCGCGGGUCCUCCACUUUCGCCUUAACGUCAUAUUAGUAAGGGUCAAUUCAUAACUGACAAAUAUGCGAUCUUACGUUAUUCUCUUAUCGUACUCCACUAUAAUUAUAACAUUUUAAAGCGUACAAAAACACAUUUAUUAAUGUACUUGCAGAAGUCAAUUUUAAAGUCAUUUCAAAGAAAACGCUAGUACAUGAGGAACACUAAGUCUUAGUAAAUGCAAACCAGUUUCAUAUAUGACAAAUUAUAAUUGUUUUCUUAUAAUUAUAAACCUUUUAUAACUAAAAACUAAAAUUUGGGAUUAUUAUUCGAAUAAAAAUGUUCAAUUGUUAUUUUGUAUGUUUCACCGUCUCUAGCUAUAAUUCUAUAAAAUAAGUGUACGAAUAUAAAAAUAAACAUUGCAGCCUCGAUUACGAUAACAAACAACACCAAAAAGUCAUCAUUACACCUACCGAUUGAUUGUACUUUCUAAACCACUAAUUUUAAUUAUUGUGAUUUUAUUAUAUACCUAUUAUAGUUACAUAUUUAUUACAAAAGAGAAAAUACAUAUUUUGGAUUCAGUUCCUACGUGGAUGAAUAAAACAAGAAGACGGUAUCUACAAAGUAGUGUUCUUCAUUCAGCGUCACCUAUUGAACGGAAGUUGAGGUGUUUUGACAGAAGGUCUAAGCGUCAAACAAAAAGAUGGAACUGAGACAUAUUAUAGAUGGCGCUACGGUACCCGAACCCAAAGACAGAGGUCUAUAGCUCUGGUUUCCUAGGAUAGUGGUCAUAUAGCGGCCGUCUCAAUACAAAAUACUACUCAUCCAUAUUUAGCCGUAUUAUUUUGUAUGGAGACGGCCGCUAUAUGACGGCACCGCUAUUCUAGGACUGCAGAACUUAAGCGUCGAACAAAAUAGAUGGAAAUGAGACUUAUUUUUCAAAAUAUCUCUACUUCCAUUCAAUAGAUGGCGCUGCGGUUCCCGAACCCGAAAGGAUCCAACAAAAUGGAUAGAACAGAAACCUGCUGCGUUAGUGACGCCAUCUGGAAAAAGUGAAUAUUGGAAGAACGCGAUUUUGUAUACACGUUGUCGAUCUUCUCGUUUUAUUUGUCCAUGGUUCCUAUAAGGAGCCUAUGAGCCGUGAAUCGUAUCUGUCUAAAUAAAUCCACCAGUCUUCCAUACCUUGUAAUGUGAUGUUUGUAUGUAAACGUAAUAUUAUGCUUGUGCUUAUGCAUAUUGCAUUAAUUGCAUAGCAUUAUAUUAUGGUGACGCUUUUUCACGCAAGAACAAUAAUAAAAUAGGGUGCAGGGCAAUUUUAACUACCUUCUGGUUUAGUUCUGAAGUAAUCAAUAAUAACUGCAUUGUUUACCUUAACUAUUACAACUAGUUUAGAUACGCUACGCUCAAAAUAUAUUUUUUGCUUCAUAAUAAAAUAAUUGUUAUUAGAAGGAGAAUAGUGAUAGGUAAAUUAAUUACCCGGCGUCAAACAAACGCUGCUAGUUUUUCAGACUAGAAGAUACAGUCUUUAGUUUGAGGACGGCACAAUUUUACUUAGUUUGCACAUUAUAGGUACUAUUUUACACCAAGAUGUUCGAUGGAAUAGGAUGUCUCGAUUCAAUUAAAGCGAGUAAUUUGAAGUGAACACCGUGUUCACUGAACAGUUGUACAGAACAAUUUUAUAAGCGGACAAGCUGUUCGAAAUUAACUUAAAACAAAUUUAAGAAUGUUCGCAGGUAAAUUUGUAGCCACUUCUGCUACUGUACAGUUGCCCUCAAGAAUCCUUGUAUUUUUUAUUACAAUUAUUACUAUGGAUGCACAUUACAAUCCAACAAGUGUCCACCGAUUUUUGACGACCGUGCAGCCAGUGCAUUGUUAUUUAUUGGUACCAACCUAAUUUUACAGGCUAUUUUGUAUGACUAAAAUAAUCAUGUUACUAAAAGUAUUCGACAGUAGUUAUAAAAGUAAAAGAUGGAUCAGAGACUAAUAAAUUAUAAAGAUUGUGAAUGUCUAGGAAAAAUCUGAAGCUUCAAAAUAGGUAAACUAGACGACUCACAAGAGGUCGCAGUACAUAAUAUAGGUACAUAGACGCCCUAUUGACACGACUAUUGAAGCCACGACUUUUCCUUUAACAUUUUUGUAGUUGUAACGGUCUGAUAUGUGUGUUACAAAGUAUUAUUUUCACCAAAGCGAUAUUUGGCUAGUCCAUAUAUUUAGAUAAUUAUAGUAUUAUUAAGGGAAUACUAAAAUGUUACACUAUUUAAUAAAAUUUUCCUCGCUAAUAAA
Cydia strobilella is the source of this 4768-nucleotide long non-coding RNA. RefSeq lists it as uncharacterized. NCBI's taxonomy places the organism in Eukaryota, Metazoa, Arthropoda, Insecta, Lepidoptera, Tortricidae. The record is from RefSeq and is a predicted model, not a curated record. The transcript is spliced from 2 exons.